Molecule: ribosomal RNA, 515 nt
Filed under: uncultured bacterium
Lineage: Bacteria
Description: partial 16S ribosomal RNA
Rfam family: Bacterial small subunit ribosomal RNA
Source: RNAcentral
GAUGAACGCUGGCGGCGUGCCUAAUACAUGCAAGUCGAGCGAAUGGAUUAAGAGCUUGCUCUUAUGAAGUUAGCGGCGGACGGGUGAGUAACACGUGGGUAACCUGCCCAUAAGACUGGGAUAACUCCGGGAAACCGGGGCUAAUACCGGAUAAUAUUUUGAACUGCAUGGUUCAUAAUUGAAAGGCGGCCUCGGCUGUCACUUAUGGAUGGACCUGCGUCGCAUUAGCUAGUUGGUGAGGUAACGGCUCACCAAGGCAACGAUGCGUAGCCGACCUGAGAGGGUGAUCGGCCACACGGGGACUGAGGCACGGCCCAGACUCCUACGGGAGGCAGCAGUAGGGAAUCUUCCGCAAUGGACGAAAGUCUGACGGAGCAACGCCGCGUGAGUGAUGAAGGCUUUCGGGUCGUAAAACUCUGUUGUUAGGGAAGAACAAGUGCUAGUUGAAUAAGCUGGCACCUUGACGGUACCUAACCAGAAAGCCACGGCUAACUACGUGCCAGCCGCCGCCGUAA